GACAGAGGGUGCAAACGUUGUUCGGAAUUACUGGGCGUAAAGCGUACGUAGGCGGUUAUUCAAGUCAGAGGUGAAAGCCCGGGGCUCAACCCCGGAACGGCCUUUGAAACUAGAUAGCUAGAGUCUUGGAGAGGUUAGUGGAAUUUCCGGUGUAGCGGUGAAAUGCGUAGAUAUCGGAAGGAACAUCAGUGGCGAAAGCGACUUCCUGGACCAGUACCGACGUUCAGGCACGAAAGCGUGGGGAGCAAACAGG
Molecule: ribosomal RNA, 253 nt
Filed under: uncultured bacterium
Lineage: Bacteria
Description: partial 16S ribosomal RNA
Rfam family: Bacterial small subunit ribosomal RNA
Source: RNAcentral